CAUGUAGAAAUGUUAAAUGGGCAGAUUGGACCAUACAUGAAAAAGGUCAAAACAUGCUGUGAUCCAAGCCACCCAAAGUUUAAUUGAAUCAAAAUGGGUUUGGAUCAAGAUAAGUCAAAUGAUGAGUCAAAACCCGAUAUGCUCAACAUGACCGAACCUACCCUCCUUUUUUAUUUUGCUUUUUUGAUUAAAUAUUGAAAGUUAGACUUAUUUUUCUUAAGUUAUUAGUUUAAGUUCUUACAAAUCUUCAUAAUUCUCAAUCUCCAAAGAACAACCAGAUGAAUUUAUACCUGAGAGAUUCUUGAAUAGCGAUAUCGAUUACAAGGGUCAAGAUUUUGAGUUACUUCUAUUUGGUGCAGGUAGAAGAGGUUGCCCAGGUAUUGCACUUGGGGUUGCAUCCAUGGAACUUGCUCUGUCAAAUCUUCUUUAUGCAUUUGAUUGGGAGUUACCUUAUGGAGUGAAAAAAGAAGACAUUGACACAAAUGUGAGGCCUGGAAUUACCAUGCAUAAGAAAAACGAACUUUGCCUUAUCCCUAAAAACUAUUUGUAGAUUAUAUCAAGACGUGGAUCUCGGGCUUAAUCUGUGAGGUCAGCUAAAAUUAUUGUUUUUGACUCGAAUUAUGUAUACAUAUUUAGAACAACUUUAAAAUGUAUGCAUACAAUAGAAUCCACUAUUAUAAGAGUAUUGUAUUUGCCUUUCA
Nicotiana attenuata is the source of this 701-nucleotide long non-coding RNA. RefSeq lists it as uncharacterized. Lineage: Eukaryota; Viridiplantae; Streptophyta; Magnoliopsida; Solanales; Solanaceae. The record is from RefSeq and is a predicted model, not a curated record. The transcript has 2 exons.